This 275-nucleotide long non-coding RNA is filed under the name Elaeis guineensis (African oil palm). Its description in RNAcentral is "long non-coding RNA (EGUI_LNC057220)". Lineage: Eukaryota; Viridiplantae; Streptophyta; Magnoliopsida; Arecales; Arecaceae. The record is from RNAcentral.
UAACUGACGAUGAAGUUUGACGAUUUAUCUAUGACCUGCCAUCUAGUUGGAACUCACGAUAGAGAGACUGAAUCACACGUGAACUACAUCUGGAGGUUCUUUUUUUGUUCUACUGGAUUGCCACUACAUAGUGCUAGGUGUCACUGGUGGAUUGUGAGAGCUUACUAGGGUUGUUCAGGAUCGACAAUCCUUGAUGAGUUAGAGUAAAAUUAUUCCGAUCCAUUGAAAAAAGUUUCAAUGAUACUAUGAUAGAGAUCAUUAUAUAUCUCACUACC